GACGAACGCUGGCGGCGUGCUUAACACAUGCAAGUCGAACGGAAAGGCCCUGCUUUUGUGGGGUGCUCGAGUGGCGAACGGGUGAGUAACACGUGAGUAACCUGCCCUUGACUUUGGGAUAACUUCAGGAAACUGGGGCUAAUACCGUAUAGGAGCUCCUGCUGCAUGGUGGGGGUUGGAACGUUUCGGCGGUUGGGGAUGGACUCGCGGCUUAUCAGCUUGUUGGUGGGGUAGUGGCUUACCAAGGCUUUGACGGGUAGCCGGCCUGAGAGGGUGACCGGCCACAUUGGGACUGAGAUACGGCCCAGACUCCUACGGGAGGCAGCAGUGGGGAAUAUUGCACAAUGGGCGGAAGCCUGAUGCAGCAACGCCGCGUGCGGGAUGACGGCCUUCGGGUUGUAAACCGCUUUCGCCUGUGACGAAGCGUGAGUGACGGUAAUGGGUAAAGAAGCACCGGCUAACUACGU
RNAcentral lists this ribosomal RNA (467 nucleotides) under uncultured bacterium. RNAcentral's name for it is "partial 16S ribosomal RNA". It matches the Rfam family "Bacterial small subunit ribosomal RNA", at positions 28 to 506 of the family's 1533-position model. The record is from RNAcentral.